Molecule: transfer RNA, 71 nt
Filed under: Orchesella villosa
Lineage: Eukaryota; Metazoa; Arthropoda; Collembola; Entomobryomorpha; Orchesellidae
Description: tRNA-Ser
Rfam family: tRNA
About the family: Transfer RNA (tRNA) molecules are approximately 80 nucleotides in length.
Source: RNAcentral
AAUUAUUUGGCUGAAUGUUCAAGUAGCUACCUUGAAAGUAGCCUAAAAAGGUUGAAUUCCUUUACUGAUUU